GACGAACGCUGGCGGCGUGCUUAACACAUGCAAGUCGAACGGAAAGGCCCUGCUUUUGUGGGGUGCUCGAGUGGCGAACGGGUGAGUAACACGUGAGUAACCUGCCCUUGACUUUGGGAUAACUUCAGGAAACUGGGGCUAAUACCGGAUAGGAGCUCCUGCUGCAUGGUGGGGGUUGGAAAGUUUCGGCGGUUGGGGAUGGACUCGCGGCUUAUCAGCUUGUUGGUGGGGCAGUGGCUUACCAAGGCUUUGACGGGUAGCCGGCCUGAGAGGGUGACCGGCCACAUUGGGACUGAGAUACGGCCCAGACUCCUACGGGAGGCAGAAGUGGGGAAUAUUGCACAAUGGGCGGAAGCCUGAUGCAGCAACGCCGCGUGCGGGAUGACGGCCUUCGGGUUGUAAACCGCUUUCGCCUGUGACGAAGCGUGAGUGACGGUAAUGGGUAAAGAAGCACCGGCUAACUACGUG
RNAcentral lists this ribosomal RNA (468 nucleotides) under uncultured bacterium. RNAcentral's name for it is "partial 16S ribosomal RNA". It matches the Rfam family "Bacterial small subunit ribosomal RNA", at positions 28 to 507 of the family's 1533-position model. The record is from RNAcentral.